GACGAACGCUGGCGGCGUGCUUAACACAUGCAUGUCGAACGGAAAGGCCCUGCUUUUGUGGGGUGCUCGAGUGGCGAACGGGUGAGUAACACGUGAGUAACCUGCCCUUGACUUUGGGAUAACUUCAGGAAACUGGGGCUAAUACCGGAUAGGAGCUCCUGCUGCAUGGUGGGGGUUGGAAAGUUUCGGCGGUUGGGGAUGGACUCGCGGCUUAUCAGCUUGUUGGUGGGGUAGUGGCUUACCAAGGCUUUGACGGGUAGCCGGCCUGAGAGGGUGACCGGCCACAUUGGGACUGCGAUACGGCCCAGACUCCUACGGGAGGCAGCAGUGGGGAAUAUUGCACAAUGGGCGGAAGCCUGAUGCAGCAACGCCGCGUGCGGGAUGACGGCCUUCGGGUUGUAAACCGCUUUCGCCUGUGACGAAGCGUGAGUGACGGUAAUGGGUAAAGAAGCACCGGCUAACUACGUG
This 468-nucleotide ribosomal RNA is filed under the name uncultured bacterium. RNAcentral describes it as "partial 16S ribosomal RNA". It matches the Rfam family "Bacterial small subunit ribosomal RNA", at positions 28 to 507 of the family's 1533-position model. The record is from RNAcentral.